UACGUAGGGUGCAAGCGUUAAUCGGAAUUACUGGGCGUAAAGCGUGCGCAGGCGGUUUUGUAAGUCUGUCGUGAAAGCCCCGGGCUCAACCUGGGAAUUGCGAUGGAGACUGCAAGGCUUGAAUCUGGCAGAGGGGGGUAGAAUUCCACGUGUAGCAGUGAAAUGCGUAGAGAUGUGGAGGAACACCGAUGGCGAAGGCAGCCCCCUGGGUCAAGAUUGACGCUCACGCACGAAAGCGUGGGGAGCAAACAGG
RNAcentral lists this ribosomal RNA (253 nucleotides) under uncultured bacterium. Its description in RNAcentral is "partial 16S ribosomal RNA". It matches the Rfam family "Bacterial small subunit ribosomal RNA", at positions 524 to 776 of the family's 1533-position model. The record is from RNAcentral.